Cervus elaphus (red deer) is the source of this 770-nucleotide long non-coding RNA. RefSeq lists it as uncharacterized. The transcript has 3 exons. Lineage: Eukaryota; Metazoa; Chordata; Mammalia; Artiodactyla; Cervidae. The record is from RefSeq and is a predicted model, not a curated record.
GGAUCUUGAAAUACUGUUGAGAGACAAACUGACCCUCAUGACUCAGAAGUGAGGUUGCCUGUGGACCGCUCUGCAGUAGGAAUCCUUAAGUGAAGCUAGCAUUUAAGCACAGGAAAUGCCAAUGGGCACAAGGAGGAGCCAGGGGAAUGGUUAACCAGGAGCAGAAACCACCCGGAUCAUCUCCCAGGAGCAGGAGGAAAGCACUGAGUCACUGGCGCCCACCCCCACGUCACUAAAUCUGGGGAAACCAGAAGGUCGUGCUGCCCCUGGCCUGAGGUUGCCUGGGAGUCAUCAUGAGCCACCAAUAAGAGACUUGACUUGUGACCGUGUGUAACUGAAAUACCUGGUUUGAAGCGGACAUCCUGAUGCUGAAAUCUCCCUCUCUCACCAGCUGUGCGGCUUCAGGGAGUUCAUUCACUUUUACUGAGUCACACACCCUUCAUUUGUAAAGUGAGGUCAUCUCCACAUGGCUCCCUCACAAAUGGUGGCAAAGAUUCAAUAUGUUAAUGGAUAGCGAGUUACUUUAAAGCUACAGUGCUCUGCAUGAAGUAUGGUAUUUGUGUUUCUCCCUUACUUCUACCACCUCCUCCAAAACCAGGCUGCUCUUGGUCAGAUCAAUUCUUAGUGUGAUUUGGCAGAGGCUAUGCCUUCCCAGUCCCAUCACUUCAUGCCAAAUAGAUGGAUAAACAAUGGAAACUGGCUGACAAUUUUUUUGGGCUCCAAAAUCACUGCAGAUGGUGACCGCAGCCAUGAAAUUAAAGAACUCUUGG